CCUAAUAUUGAAUGAGGUGGAUAAUUCCUUCUUCUGACAAAGAUUAAUGAUAGAUAAAUAAUAGAAUAUUGGGACCUUUCUCGAAUCUGAUAGAUAAGUGUGAAUAAUAGACAAUCGAAUAUCUUGACAAUCGAAUCUGAUAGAUAAGUGGAAUUGACACACCAUUGUUCCACACUCUCCAGCACCUUAUGGACGCCGCCGGUGAAGAUUCCGACAAGUCCGUCAACGCCCCAUCAAGGAACUAUGUACGUGACGCUAAGGCAAUGGCUGCAACACCAGCCGACGUGAAGGAAUACCCUAAUUCCUAUGUUUUCGUUGUGGACAUGCCAGGGUUGAAAUCCGGAGAUAUUAAGGUGCAGGUGGAAGAUGACAACGUGUUGUUGAUCAGUGGAGAAAGGAAGAGAGAAGAAGAGAAAGAAGGGGCUAAGUAUAUUAGAAUGGAGAGAAGGACUGGAAAAUUCAUGAGGAAAUUUUCUCUGCCGGAGAAUGCGAAUACUGAUGCCAUUUCUGCUAUUUGACAAGACGGGGUCUUGACUGUUACUGUCCAGAAGUUGCCUCCUCCAGAGCCCAAGAAACUCAAAACUAUCGAGGUCAAAAUUGCAUGAGAUAUUAGAGUAGUUAAUAAUUACUCUGUUUUCUGGACAUGGGAUUGGGAAAUGCUCUGUUUUGAUGGUAAUAAAAUGGUAGAGAUCUAGGAGUGGUGGUCUUUCCCUCUGUUUGUCUUUAAUAUUUCCCAUGUUUUUUGAAGUAUGAUGAAAUGUGAAGAACUAGAUGUCUAGGUGUGCCAUCUCUUCUUGUUUACUGCAGGGGAGAUGCUACUACUAUCUAGUUUAUUUUCUUCGACUACUAUCAAUAUAGAGAGUGCAAUUGUUCCUAUCCAAUGCAUAAGUGCAAUUAUCUCAAUAUGGAGAAUGCAAUUUCUUUUUAUCUGAACUCCUUUAUGUCUAUGUUUGACCAAAAAAUUGCAAACCCUUCGUUAAACUAAUUAAUUUUGUGUCAUGAGGAAUUAAAGAUAACAACCUCAGAUCUAUAAAUGACAGCAGUGAGAGGAGAUUAAAUAUGGUGUGCAUUCCAUGUCUAGACAUAAUUAACGAUGAUGGACUAUCAAGCAAUAAAUAGCAUUAAAUGACAUUAAAGUAAAUAAGGAGAAGAAUUUACCUAAUAUUGAAUGGGGUGGAUAAUUCCUUCUUCUAACAAAGAUUAAUGAUAGAUAAAUAAUAGAAUAUUGGGACCUUUCUCGAAUCUGAUAGAUAAGUGUGAAUAAUAGACAAUCGAAUAUCUUUACAAUCGAAUCUGAUAGAUAAGUGGAAUUGACACACCACUGUUCCACACUCUCCAGCACCUUAUGGACGCCGCCGGUGAAGAUUCCGACAAGUCCGUCAACGCCCCAUCAAGGAACUAUGUACGUGACGCUAAGGCAAUGGCUGCAACACUAGCCGACGUGAAGGAAUACCCUAAUUCCUAUGUUUUCGUUGUGGACAUGCCAGGGUUGAAAUCCGGAGAUAUUAAGGUGCAGGUGGAAGAUGACAACGUGCUGCUGAUCAGUGGAGAAAGGAAGAGAGAAGAAGAGAAAGAAGGGGCUAAGUAUAUUAGAAUGGAGAGAAGGAUUGGAAAAUUCAUGAGGAAAUUUCUCUGCCGGAGAAUGCGAAUACUGAUGCCAUUUCUGCUAUUUGUCAAGACGGGGUCUUGACUGUUACUGUCCAGAAGUUGCCUCCUCCAGAGCCCAAGAAACCCAAAACUAUCGAGGUCAAAAUUGCAUGAGAUAUUAGAGUAGUUAAUAAUUACUCUGUUUUCUGGACAUGGGAUUGGGAAAUGCUCUGUUUUGAUGGUAAUAAAAUGCUAGAGAUCUAGGAGUGGUGGUCUUUCCCUCUGUUUGUCUUUAAUAUUUCCCAUGUUCCUAUCCAAUGCAUAAGUGCAAUUAUCUCAAUAUGGAGAAUGCAAUUUCUUUUUAUCUGAACUCCUUUAUGUCUAUGUUUGACCAAACAAUUGCAAACCCUUCGUUAAACUAAUUAAUUUUGUGUCAUGAGGAAUUAAAGAUAACAACCUCAGAUCUAUAAAUGACAGCAGUGAGAGGAGAUUAAAUAUGGUGUGCAUUCCAUGUCUAGACAUAAUUAACGAUGAUGGACUAUCAAGCAAUAAAUAGCAUUAAAUGACAUUAAAGUAAAUAAGGAGAAGAAUUUACCUAAUAUUGAAUGGGGUGGAUAAUUCCUUCUUCUGACAAAGAUUAAUGAUAGAUAAAUAAUAGAAUAUUGGGACCUUUCUCGAAUCUGAUAGAUAAGUGUGAAUAAUAGACAAUCGAAUAUCUUUACAAAGGUAAUGUUUGUAUUUUAUCUAGAGAGAGUCAGCUUUUCAAAGAGUGUUAUUAUCAGACAAUAUUACAUGUCUUUCACCUUAUCUCUCUAUCUACUUAUAUGGACAUACCCCUAAUCAAUCCUAAAAGUAUAAGUACAGUUCUCCUAAAAUAUCAUAUUACAAAAUUAGAUGUUGCUAUUGCUCCUAACAUUUGACCUAGGCCAUCAUUGGCUGCCCGGCUAUGAAAAUUAUGUACUAGGUGACCUCGACCAAAUUACUUUUCGUAAUACCUCUUCAUGUUAAAUUUUCUUGAGGCAGAUUUUGACAUAUACAGUUAGUCCCUUCGCUUAUUGAGGUCGACUCUGGACGAUCUUGAUGAGCGGACUUUGUUAAUCACGAUUAGAAAUUUAGGCGAGUAUAUUGAAUAGUAACGUUUCAGACGUGAUGGCUACGUGGCACUUUGCGAGUCGUCUCUUAUAGUCACAUCGAUUCAGAGUGACGUCAUGAUACCAUUUUCCCGAUGUAUAGUAUCGUUUCUUGUGCCUCUGCCAUUUCGAUACCUGCACUGGGCAUUGACAAUUUGUUUCCUCGAUAUUAAUGCCCGAGUUCUUAUUCAUGGGAGGCCCAUGUACUAUUUCUUCCACUGCUAGCUAGAGCAUGCGCUAUCGUAUUCGUCUCACGCUAGAUAUGGACAUAUGGUGUAUGGAAGGAUGGUUCAUUGCUCGAAGGAGAAACUUGUGAACUUGUUGUAUGGUUGAUAGUAAGUUAUCCCAACAAUGAUCUAAGUUCCUAGGAGAAUAGCCUAAGAUAUCUAUGUGAAUUUCCUAACAUAUUUUGCUAUUUGAGUCUCACUUCACUUUCCAUCAAACCUUGUUUGAAACUUACGCAUCCCUGUCCAAAAUGUUGCUUUUAUAUAGCAAAACAAAAAAAAUAUUUAAGUUAUCUGCACUGUUAGGUAAAGAUAAUUUUAAUGAUCAGUGUGUUUUAAUAUAUUAUAAUGAUAAAUUAAUUAAUCUACUAUAAAUAUUUAUAAAAUAAUUAUUUUCACGUGAUAUGGUUAUAUAAAUAAUUUUUGCACGACAAAUGAAUAGAGCUAAAAGUUAAAAGACAAAUAAAAAAAGAGCCCAAAUGGAGAGGAGUAAAAAUGUAAAAUACAUUACAUGCUAGCAAUUUGAACGACAUGUAACUCGACCACAUUCUAGACGAAUGUAGAACAUGGACAACGUCUAAACAGAAACUCCUAGAAACUUGCCACCUUCCUCUUCUAUUUCUCUCCAGAAGCUUCCCUGUUUCCACUAUUUAAUCACCCAAUCUUCAUUCUUCCCUCAACAUCCCCAGCAAUUCAAUUCUAAAACUCACAAAAUUCCACAUCCAAAAAAAUCCCAGGAUCAUUGGAACCAAGUCAACCAAGAAGAGGAGAAUGAAUUUCAGGCUAAUGGGAAUUGACACACCACUGUUCCACACUCUCCAGCACCUUAUGGACGCCGCCGGUGAAGAUUCCGACAAGUCCGUCAAUGCCCCAUCAAGGAACUAUGUACGUGACGCUAAGGCAAUGGCUGCAACACCAGCCGACGUGAAGGAAUACCCUAAUUCCUAUGUUUUCGUUGUGGACAUGCCAGGGUUGAAAUCCGGAGAUAUUAAGGUGCAAGUGGAAGAUGACAACGUGCUGUUGAUCAGUGGAGAAAGGAAGAGAGAAGAAGAGAAAGAAGGGGCUAAGUAUAUUAGAAUGGAGAGAAGGAUUGGAAAAUUCAUGAGGAAAUUUACA
Molecule: long non-coding RNA, 4057 nt
Filed under: Nicotiana tabacum (common tobacco)
Lineage: Eukaryota; Viridiplantae; Streptophyta; Magnoliopsida; Solanales; Solanaceae
Description: long non-coding RNA (NTAB_LNC000121)
Source: RNAcentral